Molecule: long non-coding RNA, 507 nt
Organism: Gorilla gorilla gorilla (western lowland gorilla)
Lineage: Eukaryota; Metazoa; Chordata; Mammalia; Primates; Hominidae
Source: Ensembl
GUGCACUCUACCUGCACGCUUCACAUUUGUUGUGCUAAUUACUUAUGUCACUUUGAAAUUUUCAUAAAAUAAGAAUUAGUAAAUAAAUAAUUAUAUUAGCUAACUCAAACAAAACAUUCAUAUAGAAUACUCAUCUCAGUGACAUGAGAUCCCUGAGAAGAGAGAACAAAAUUGCAAAUAUGAAAUAUUCCAGGCACAAAACAUUUCAGACAAGUGCCUAGUGUUCAUAUUUUGUUUCUCUCUUGAAAAUUUUCUCUUGUGAAUUUUAAUUCUUCUGCUAUAUCAAGAAGAAAGCAUAAUUUAAGAGUGGCAUGCAGGAGUGACAGGACCGACAUUCCGGGGAGAAGAUGGGCAAAAGAGAAUACAAGAGAUGAUGAACAGGGGACCCAGAAGGCAGCAGCGACUCCAGGAACAGCCCACAGGUGCAAAAGCAACUGGCUUCUGAUUUGAAAUUGAAUUUGACAAAACACUCUUUGAGACUGAUACAAGAACGGGGCUACAGAUAAC